Molecule: long non-coding RNA, 711 nt
Organism: Sinocyclocheilus grahami
Lineage: Eukaryota; Metazoa; Chordata; Actinopteri; Cypriniformes; Cyprinidae
Exons: 3
Source: RefSeq, a predicted model, not a curated record
CAUGACUUUCCAAUGGCCGCUGCCUCAUACGGGGUUCUUACUCAACUUUUACUAAAACACGUCUGAAGGCUCUUUAUGACGCGCUUAUUGCUCUUUUCUUGAGCGGACAGGGAACUUUACUGCAGCAUCGUGCUGAUGAAAUGCGCGGCAGGCAGGAGUUGAGGCGGUGAGCGGCAGCGGGGGCGGAGUCAACAGGUUCAGCAACAACCAUAUGUGAUCUGUAUAAUUGACCCCUCACAAGAUAAACACAAUGAAUCAGGAAUUAUAAAAGAAGAGGAAAGUGGAGAACAUCAUGUAAGAACACAAAUGCCGACUGUUUAUUUCCAAAAUCUUUUUGGAAAUAAAUUAAAUAGGCCUGUGUGACAUGGGAAACAACCCCGACAGAAAACCCUUCAGCAGCAAAGGAGAGUCGCUCCUCCAUUCAUCUGUCUAGACAUUUUCCCACACAGAAUAAGCACAUCUACUCUCUCCUCUGAAUGCUCUUAUGGGUAAAUAAUCCACAGAAAGCAUCUAAUUUGAACGUCGUUUUGGAUUCUUCCGUGUGAUUGUGGGCGAACUCUAGAGGUAGCCAUGUCUGGUAAGGGCAACCCCAGCCCACACCUCAAUGGCUUCCCAAUGGCCCACUAUUCCUAUUUCUUCCCGCACAUACUGGGAGGGCUUUCUCCGCCUUCUCUGCCCACCCUACCCCUCAGUGGAUACAGCACACCUUCA